UAGAAAGCUUCCGUCUGGAUCCCAAAGUUGUUGUCCAUGUGGUGAACAUAUCUCUGUCUCUGCAGAGCAUGAUCAAUAUGCUAAAGCAAGACACAAGGAAGGAUGGUAUAGAAGCGGGGAAUACCCAAAGGUCUCAUUUACAUGCGUUUGGAGAAGAUGUGCGAUCACUGGGUGUUCUACUGAUUUGUAAUGUCAUGAAUAAAUUGUAUUUUUCUUUCUUUUUUUUUCUGCUUAAGAAUAUAUAUGUACCGUUUGAUUCAACAUAUCUGAUCCAACAUGAAUUGAGUCUUUUAUUAGAUCAUUCGUACUGGUCACAUGUUUUAAUUGCAUCGCUCGAGUUAUUUAGCUCUUUGCAGUUUUGUUUAUAAUAGGAGUAAUGGUGUUGGUGACAUUUGGAGCUUAGGAUCAAGUCGUGAGAAAGUUAUUUUCAGAAACAAAUCGUGAGAGAGAGAAAAAAAAGGGUAUUUGGUUUUCAGACUGAUCAAACUUCAGAGUAUGAACCAAGGGCAAGCCUAUGGAGCAUUCAGCAAUGAAAUACAUAUCAUACUUGCUGAGACAAAAAGUUAAGAAUAUCACAAACAGAUAACUGGUUUUAUGUGUGAGAGAGUUUCUUGAGAAUGAAUGUUAUGCUCAACAACCUAGGCUGUAUCACAGGGAUAGUAAUACGGAUGCUCCAUUCAUAUGCUGAAAUAAAUGUUCAGAUUUAGUUUCUCUGAAGUAUUCUGAAGUUGUUGAAUCAGUUUGUUCCCUUUGUUUUUAUUUGAAAGAAAUAAAUACAUUUUUCCUUUAGUUUAACAAAGUCUCAUUUACACAAAUACCUUUGAGAUCAAUAUCCAAAUCGAACCAGCUUAACCCAAACCAAUUUGGUUUUGAUUCAGAGUCGAGUAUAACUUUGGUUCAAUUUAAAAGGUGUUUUUAAACAAAUUCGAUGGUACCGUCAAUCAAGUUCUUGACUUCCCCAAUAAUGUUUGGUAACAAAAAAUUCAACCGAUAAUGUGGAUAUUCAAAAUAUCAAUGAAAAUUAAUGAAAAAAAUAAUAAUUAACAAAUAUUGUUUCAAUCGAUAAACGAAAAACAUGGUACACUGAUAAAUUUCUACGGUUUCAAGUUAGAUAAAUUAAAUAUAUGCAAAAUAUGAUAUAAUUUUAUAAGUAAUAAACUAUUUUUUUAUUUUUUUAUAUAAAUAUAUAGUUUCAUUAAAUCAUAAAUUAAAAUGACUAUAUAAAUUUUAUAUAAACAGAAACAAACAAUUUAUUUUUAUUUUACUAUAAAAUGAUUUUCGUCUCUAAUUUUAUUUUACAUUUCACUAUUUUGUGCUAUUUUAUUGGAUUAUAUUAACAAAUUUUGUAUUCUAUCAUAUGUAUUCAACGAAUACAUAAUAUUUCAAGUAUUCUUAAUAAAAAUAAAUUUAAUAUAUGAUAUUGUGAAUAAAAUAUUUUUUAUACCUUUUAAAUAACAAAAAUAUCUAAAAAAUUAAUAUAAGAGAAAAAUUUCUAUACUAUAAAUUUUAAAAAUAUUAAUUAUUUUAAAAAUAUUAAUUUGCCAAUACAAUUAAAAAGAAAUUUAAGGUUUUUUUGUUGCCAAAAUAACAAAUCCCGCGCGAAGCGCGGGCUUCCUCUAGUUUUAUUAUAAACUUAGACUUAAAAUUUUAUAUAUGAUAAACAAAAUUUUACAUUUUACAUGAGAAACCUUUUAGUAUCACACUUAUCUUUAUGGUCAUUAAAUUUCAAAUUAAACAAAGGACAAUUCUCUCAAAUAGAUUUUUUUUUUUAAGUUUUGUGUCACAAAAAUAGAUUUCAAAAAGUAAAAUGACCAAAAUAAAUUUUUUUAUUUUGAAAUAUUUAAUAUUUUUUAAGUUUUUAAAAUUUGAAAUUAUACCCCUAAAACCCCACCCCUUAACUCUAAACCCUAAACCCUAAAUCAUAAACCUUAAAUCCUAAACCCUAAAUUCUAAACCAUAAACACAAAAACAUACCUCUUAAUAAAAUAUUUUGAUUAUUUUGAUCCUUAAUGAUUAUAUUUGUGACAAAAAAAAAUUAGGUAUAUCCUAGGUAAUUUCUCUUAAACAAAACAUUUGUAAUUAAAAAAUUGGAAAUUUAAGUAUUUUCAAUAUAUCUGAAAACUCAUACACAAGAAAUAGAGUUAUGACAUGGGCGGGCCCACGGUAGAGUGGAGUGUGGCACGUGCCAUGCACUAAACAAUAUAUCUCUUUCGCCCUUAUUGAACUAAUAGCUGUUAUCAGCUCUUUUGGUUAUGAGACUCACCGCAGUGCCCCACGCUUCACGUGUUCGACCUCUGUCAUAUCAUUUUCUGUUUUCUUUUGGUAAUUAGGCUAAAGAUAAAUAAUUGCUAGUAUUUUAGUUUAAUUCAAAUUUCAAGGGCAAGACCAGAGACAAAACUAAUACUAACACAAUAAUUUUAUUCUAUACAUUUUUUUAUUUUAAUCACUUUUCAAAAAUAUAUAUUCUUUUUUAAUUGUGUUGCAAAUUUUUUUAUGAGUGUUUUCCUUUUCUUUUAGUAUAUAGUUUUUCGAAGAAAAAAAUUGUGCGCUUUAUUUUGUUUUAUUUAUUUAGUAUUUAUUAAUUAUAAUACUUAGAUUAAACUAACAGCUAUAUUUAAUAAGCGUUUGUAAUGAAACUAUAUGUGAAUAUAUAAUUUUAUUUUAACAUUACUCAAAAUAAAUACUUAAUAUUAUAAAAUGCUUAUCUUAUGUUAAUAAUAUUUAAUUUAAAUAAUGCAUUAAAUAAGAUGCAAUAAUGAAUGGUUAAUGUCAAUCAUUUUAAAUUUAUUAUAUAAUAAAUCAUUACAGAAAAAAAAUUAUUAUUAUAUAAUUUAUUAAUUAAAUUAUAUUAAAUAUUUUGUAAAAUAUAAUAUUUAUAUUGUCCCAUCUUAAUUUAUUUUCUAGAUCCGCUACUGGGUAUGAGUCUAUAUGUCUUUGGACGAUAGCUACAAUUGCUGAGUUCAGGACAUAUCGCCUUACAAAUACCAACAGUCCCAAACCUUAUGAAAGAAUCAUUGGACGCAAAUAGUGUACGCAUACAUUGAAUCGAUUCUCUACUUUUGAACGCAUUACAACAGUGUGAAUUGUUCCGUUGGGACACAUUUAUCAAGGGAGCGACGCAAUCGUCAAUGUGUUUGCAUUCUGCUGGCAUUGGGUUAUUUGGCAUAGGGCGUCUACCGCGUCUACCGGCUUUAAUCUGAGCCGGAAAUGAUGUCAAGAGUAGAAAGAAGGCAAUGAGAAUAAACGGAAUAAUCUUCAUUAUAGUAUCUGACCAAAUUCACAGCUAAAACCAGAAUAAACUUAUUCAGUUUGUAGAAAGUAAUCUGUUUUCUUCGUUUUGUUUUAUGUGCUUUAAAUAAAGAAAUUGGAAACUUGAAUUAAUUGUUCUUAAUUACCCAUACCCGGAAAUUAGAAAAGUUGGAAUUGAUUCAUAUAAAGAAGGGAAGGUCGACAACAAAAAAGGGAAGGAUGCUAAUUCUAUUUUUAUUUACAAAACAAACGAUUGACUUGUUCAAUAUCUUCAUCCUAAUUUUAGUCAUUUCUUUGGUUUUGUUGCAUAAUGCAAAACUAGCUUAUGCAACAAACGAUUGGACAACAAACUCACUGUGAGUGGAUCAGUAUCUCUGUUCGAUAACAUCCUGUUUCGAAUUUCCAUUUAACCCACGUUGUUCAGAUUAUAGGUUUUACAUCGAGAUCCGUAUGGGCCUUAGUAAAAUACGGUGAAGAAAUUGAAUCAGCGGUCUAGAAGCCUGAUGCCGUCUCUGUAAUCGUUCACAUCCACCGAACUGUGUCUUUUUCUGCAGUGGUAAUGUGUCUGAAAAUGUGCGGCUUGAUGAACGAGUCUUUCUGAUUAUCAGUGACGGGUGAGUGUCUAUGGAUUGACUUUCCCAUGUUUAAGGCUUCAGUGAAUGUGUCAGUGAUUCAUAUUCAACUUACUUUCUCAAAAACAAUCUAGAAAGCUUCCGUCUGGAUCCCAAAAUUGUUGUCCAUGUGGUGAACAUAUCUCUGUCUCUGCAGAGCAUGAUCAAUAUGCUAAAGCAAGACACAAGGAAGGAUGGUAUAGAAGCGGGGAAUACCCAAAGGUCUCAUUUACAUGCGUUUGGAGAAGAUGUGCGAUCACUGGGUGUUCUACUGAUUUGUAAUGUCAUGAAUAAAUUGUAUUUUUCUUUCUUUUUUUUGUCUGCUUAAGAAUAUAUAUGUACCGUUUGAUUCAACAUAUCUGAUCCAACGUGAAUUGAGUCUUUUAUUAGAUCAUUCGUACUGGUCACAUGUUUUAAUUGCAUCGCUCGAGUUAUUUAGCUCUUUGCAGUUUUGUUUAUAAUAGGAGUAAUGGUGUUGGUGACAUUUGGAGCUUAGGAUCAAGUCGUGAGAAAGUUGUUUUCAAAAACAAAUCGUGAGAGAGAAAAAAAAAAGGGUAUUUGGUUUUCAGACUGAUCAAACUUCAGAGUAUGAACCAAGGGCAAGCCUAUGGAGCAUUCAGCAAUGAAAUACAUAUCAUACUUGCUGAGACAAAAAGUUAAGAAUAUCACAAACAGAUAACUGGUUUUAUGUGUGAGAGAGUUUCUUGAGAAUGAAUGUUAUGCUCAACAACCUAGGCUGUAUCACAGGGAUAGUAAUACGGAUGCUCCAUUCAUAUGCUGAAAUAAAUGUUCAGAUUUAGUUUCUCUGAAGUAUUCUGAAGUUGUUGAAUCAGUUUGUUCCCUUUGUUUUUAUUUGAAAGAAAUAAAUACAUUUUUCCUUUAGUUUAACAAAGUCUCAUUUACACAAAUACCUUUGAAAUCAAUACCCAAAUCGAACCAGCUUAACCCAAACCAAUUUGGUUUUGAUUCAGAGUCGAGUAUAACUUCGGUUCAAUUUAAAAGGUGCUUUUAAACAAAUUCGAUGGUACCGUCAAUCAAGUUCUUGACUUCGCCAAUAAUGUUUGGUAACAAAAAAUUCAACCGAUAAUGUGGAUAUUCAAAAUAUCAAUGAAAAUUAAUGAAAAAAAUAAUAAUUAACAAAAUACUGUUUCAAUCGAUAAACGAAAAACAUGGUACACUGAUAAAUUUCUACGGUUUCAAGUUAGAUAAAUUAAAUAUAUGCAAAAUAUGAUAUAAUUUUAUAAGUAAUAAACUAUUUUUUUAAUUUUUUAUAUAAAUAUAUAGUUUCAUUAAAUCAUAAAUUAAAAUGACUAUAUAAAUUUUAUAUAAACAGAAACAAACAAUUUAUUUUUAUUUUACUAUAAAAUGAUUUUCGUCUCUAAUUUUAUUUUACAUUUCAUUAUUUUGUGCUAUUUUAUUGGAUUAUAUUAACAAAUUUUGUAUUCUAUCAUAUGUAUUCAACGAAUACAUAAUAUUUCAAGUAUUCUUAAUAAAAAUAGCUGAAAUUCAAAUUUAUAAAAUUUAAUAUAUGAUAUUGUGAAUAAAAUAUUUUUUAUACCUUUUAAAUAACAAAAAUAUCUAAAAAAUUAAUAUAAGAGAAAAAUUUCUAUACUAUAAAUUUUAAAAAUAUUAAUUAUUUUAAAAAUAUUAAUUUGCCAAUACAAUUAAAAAGAAAUUUAAGUUUUUUUGGUUGCCAAAAUAACAAAUCCCGCGCGAAGCGCGGACUUCCUCUAGUUUUAUUAUAAACUUAGACUUAAAAUUUUAUAUAUGAUAAACAAAAUUUUACAUUUUACAUGAGAAACCUUUUAGUAUCACACUUAUCUUUAUGGUCAUUAAAUUUCAAAUUAAACAAAGGACAAUUCUCUCAAAUAGAUUUUUUUUUUAAGUUUUGUGUCACAAAAAUAGAUUUCAAAAAGUAAAAUGACCAAAAUAAUUUUUUUUAUUUUGAAAUAUUUAAUAUUUUUUAAGUUUUUAAAAUUUGAAAUUAUACCCCUAAAACCCCACCCCUUAACUCUAAACCCUAAACCCUAAAUCAUAAACCUUAAAUCCUAAACCCUAAAUUCUAAACCAUAAACACAAAAACAUACCUCUUAAUAAAAUAUUUUGAUUAUUUUGAUCCUUAAUGAUUAUAUUUGUGACAAAAAAAAAUUAGGUAUAUCCUAGGUAAUUUCUCUUAAACAAAACAUUUGUAAUUAAAAAAUUGGAAAUUUAAGUAUUUUCAAUAUAUCUGAAAACUCAUACACAAGAAAUAGAGUUAUGACAGGGGCGGACCCACGGUAGAGUGGAGUGUGGCACGUGCCAUGCACUAAACAAUAUAUCUCUUUCGCCCUUAUUGAACUAAUAGCUGUUAUCAGCUCUUUUGGUUAUGAGACUCACCGCAGUGCCCCACGCUUCACGUGUUCGACCUCUGUCAUAUCAUUUUCUGUUUUCUUUUGGUAAUUAGGCUAAAGAUAAAUAAUUGCUAGUAUUUUAGUUUAAUUCAAAUUUCAAGGGCAAGACCAGAGACAAAACUAAUACUAACACAAUAAUUUUAUUCUAUACAUUUUUUUAUUUUAAUCACUUUUCAAAAAUAUAUAUUCUUUUUUAAUUGUGUUGCAAAUUUUUUUAUGAGUGUUUUCCUUUUCUUUUAGUAUAUAGUUUUUCGAAGAAAAAAAUUGUGCGCUUUAUUUUGUUUUAUUUAUUUAGUAUUUAUUAAUUAUAAUACUUAGAUUAAACUAACAGCUAUAUUUAAUAAGCGUUUGUAAUGAAACUAUAUGUGAAUAUAUAAUUUUAUUUUAACAUUACUCAAAAUAAAUACUUAAUAUUAUAAAAUGCUUAUCUUAUGUUAAUAAUAUUUAAUUUAAAUAAUGCAUUAAAUAAGAUGCAAUAAUGAAUGGUUAAUGUCAAUCAUUUUAAAUUUAUUAUAUAAUAAAUCAUUACAGAAAAAAAAUUAUUAUUAUAUAAUUUAUUAAUUAAAUUAUAUUAAAUAUUUUGUAAAAUAUAAUAUUUAUAUUGUCCCAUCUUAAUUUAUUUUCUAGAUCCGCUACUGGGUAUGAGUCUAUAUGUCUUUGGACGAUAGCUACAAUUGCUGAGUUCAGGACAUAUCGCCUUACAAAUACCAACAGUCCCAAACCUUAUGAAAGAAUCAUUGGACGCAAAUAGUGUACGCAUACAUUGAAUCGAUUCUCUACUUUUGAACGCAUUACAACAGUGUGAAUUGUUCCGUUGGGACACAUUUAUCAAGGGAGCGACGCAAUCGUCAAUGUGUUUGCAUUCUGCUGGCAUUGGGUUAUUUGGCAUAGGGCGUCUACCGCGUCUACCGGCUUUAAUCUGAGCCGGAAAUGAUGUCAAGAGUAGAAAGAAGGCAAUGAGAAUAAACGGAAUAAUCUUCAUUAUAGUAUCUGACCAAAUUCACAGCUAAAACCAGAAUAAACUUAUUCAGUUUGUAGAAAGUAAUCUGUUUUCUUCGUUUUGUUUUAUGUGCUUUAAAUAAAGAAAUUGGAAACUUGAAUUAAUGGUUCUUAAUUACCCAUACCCGGAAAUUAGAAAAGUUGGAAUUGAUUCAUAUAAAGAAGGGAAGGUCGACAACAAAAAAGGGAAGGAUGCUAAUUCUAUUUUUAUUUACAAAACAAACGAUUGACUUGUUCAAUAUCUUCAUCCUAAUUUUAGUCAUUUCUUUGGUUUUGUUGCAUAAUGCAAAACUAGCUUAUGCAACAAACGAUUGGACAACAAACUCACUGUGAGUGGAUCAGUAUCUCUGUUCGAUAACAUCCUGUUUCGAAUUUCCAUUUAACCCACGUUGUUCAGAUUAUAGGUUUUACAUCGAGAUCCGUAUGGGCCUUAGUAAAAUACGGUGAAGAAAUUGAAUCAGCGGUCUAGAAGCCUGAUGCCGUCUCUGUAAUCGUUCACAUCCACCGAACUGUGUCUUUUUCUGCAGUGGUAAUGUGUCUGAAAAUGUGCGGCUUGAUGAACGAGUCUUUCUGAUUAUCAGUGACGGGUGAGUGUCUAUGGAUUGACUUUCCCAUGUUUAAGGCUUCAGUGAAUGUGUCAGUGAUUCAUAUUCAACUUACUUUCUCAAAAACAAUCUAGAAAGCUUCCGUCUGGAUCCCAAAAUUGUUGUCCAUGUGGUGAACAUAUCUCUGUCUCUGCAGAGCAUGAUCAAUAUGCUAAAGCAAGACACAAGGAAGGAUGGUAUAGAAGCGGGGAAUACCCAAAGGUCUCAUUUACAUGCGUUUGGAGAAGAUGUGCGAUCACUGGGUGUUCUACUGAUUUGUAAUGUCAUGAAUAAAUUGUAUUUUUCUUUCUUUUUUUUGUCUGCUUAAGAAUAUAUAUGUACCGUUUGAUUCAACAUAUCUGAUCCAACGUGAAUUGAGUCUUUUAUUAGAUCAUUCGUACUGGUCACAUGUUUUAAUUGCAUCGCUCGAGUUAUUUAGCUCUUUGCAGUUUUGUUUAUAAUAGGAGUAAUGGUGUUGGUGACAUUUGGAGCUUAGGAUCAAGUCGUGAGAAAGUUGUUUUCAAAAACAAAUCGUGAGAGAGAAAAAAAAAAGGGUAUUUGGUUUUCAGACUGAUCAAACUUCAGAGUAUGAACCAAGGGCAAGCCUAUGGAGCAUUCAGCAAUGAAAUACAUAUCAUACUUGCUGAGACAAAAAGUUAAGAAUAUCACAAACAGAUAACUGGUUUUAUGUGUGAGAGAGUUUCUUGAGAAUGAAUGUUAUGCUCAACAACCUAGGCUGUAUCACAGGGAUAGUAAUACGGAUGCUCCAUUCAUAUGCUGAAAUAAAUGUUCAGAUUUAGUUUCUCUGAAGUAUUCUGAAGUUGUUGAAUCAGUUUGUUCCCUUUGUUUUUAUUUGAAAGAAAUAAAUACAUUUUUCCUUUAGUUUAACAAAGUCUCAUUUACACAAAUACCUUUGAAAUCAAUACCCAAAUCGAACCAGCUUAACCCAAACCAAUUUGGUUUUGAUUCAGAGUCGAGUAUAACUUCGGUUCAAUUUAAAAGGUGCUUUUAAACAAAUUCGAUGGUACCGUCAAUCAAGUUCUUGACUUCGCCAAUAAUGUUUGGUAACAAAAAAUUCAACCGAUAAUGUGGAUAUUCAAAAUAUCAAUGAAAAUUAAUGAAAAAAAUAAUAAUUAACAAAAUACUGUUUCAAUCGAUAAACGAAAAACAUGGUACACUGAUAAAUUUCUACGGUUUCAAGUUAGAUAAAUUAAAUAUAUGCAAAAUAUGAUAUAAUUUUAUAAGUAAUAAACUAUUUUUUUAAUUUUUUAUAUAAAUAUAUAGUUUCAUUAAAUCAUAAAUUAAAAUGACUAUAUAAAUUUUAUAUAAACAGAAA
Molecule: long non-coding RNA, 9169 nt
Organism: Brassica napus (rape)
Lineage: Eukaryota; Viridiplantae; Streptophyta; Magnoliopsida; Brassicales; Brassicaceae
Exons: 3
Source: RefSeq, a predicted model, not a curated record